Molecule: long non-coding RNA, 441 nt
Organism: Lingula anatina
Lineage: Eukaryota; Metazoa; Brachiopoda; Lingulata; Lingulida; Lingulidae
Source: RefSeq, a predicted model, not a curated record
CAGUGAACAUUUGUGAGCAGUUUUAGCCAAAACCUCUCACCCAAAAUGGGCCAAAUCUGUUGUAAUUUGCAUAACAAUAAGUUGCCCGUCGUAGUGCAAGCUGAAUACUCACUCUGCAGUUGGGCACAGAUGAGCGAAGACGCAACAUUAUGUGUGGUGAAUUCACAAGUUUAAGCUUUUAUAAGACGUAGAAGCAAGUAUAUGAUUACACUUGGGCAACCCAUUUAUGCUUAAAGAUUGACAUGCUGUCAAAGAUCUUUUUGUAAGAAGCCCACGGAGAAACUGUGCAACGUGGGCCUGCAAGCAACAAGGUCUUUGGUUGACAUAUAUCAUGCUCAUUUUCAUAUAUCUCUUAUAUCAAAUCCGAAUAAAUAUUACUAUAAUCCCUCGUUAUUUUUGUCAUGUUGAUAUAAAAUCCACAGUACAGCAAUAUUAAAAUGG